CGGGCGCGGCGACGGUCUAAGUCCCUUGGAACGGGGCGUCAUAGAGGGUGAGAAUCCCGUAUGAGAUCGGCGACCAAGCCCAUGUGAAACUCCUUCGACGAGUCGAGUUGUUUGGGAAUGCAGCUCAAAAUGGGUGGUAAAUUUCAUCUAAAGCUAAAUACCGGCCAGAGACCGAUAGCGCACAAGUAGAGUGAUCGAAAGAUGAAAAGCACUUUGGAAAGAGAGUCAAAAAGUACGUGAAAUUGUUGAAAGGGAAGCGCUUGCAACCAGACCUGCCCGUGGGUGAUCCCCCGUUUUCUCGAAAGCGGUGCACUCGCCGCGAUCAGGCCAGCAUCGGUUCGGGCGGCCGGAUAAAGGCCGCGGGAAUGUAGCUCCUCUCGGGGAGUGUUAUAGCCCGUGGUGCAAUGCGGCCCGCCUGGACCGAGGACCGCGCUUCGGCUAGGAUGCUGGCGUAAUGGUUGUAAGCGGCCCGUCUUGAAACACGGACCAAGGAGUCUAACAUCUAUGCGAGUGUUUGGGUGUCAAACCCAUACGCGUAAUGAAAGUGAACGGAGGUGGGAACCCAGGGCGCACCAUCGACCGAUCCAGAUGUCUUCGGAUGGAUUUGAGUACGAGCAUAGCUGUUGGGACCCGAAAGAUGGUGAACUAUGCCAGAAUAGGGUGAAGCCAGAGGAAACUCUGGUGGAGGCUCGCAGCGGUUCUGACGUGCAAAUCGAUCGUCAAAUUUUGGCAUAGGGGCGAAAGUGAGUUUUGCGGUGG
RNAcentral lists this ribosomal RNA (759 nucleotides) under Seirophora lacunosa. RNAcentral's name for it is "LSU rRNA". It matches the Rfam family "Eukaryotic large subunit ribosomal RNA", at positions 165 to 950 of the family's 3401-position model. Lineage: Eukaryota; Fungi; Ascomycota; Lecanoromycetes; Teloschistales; Teloschistaceae. The record is from RNAcentral.